This 909-nucleotide small RNA is filed under the name Arabidopsis thaliana (thale cress). Its description in RNAcentral is "ATSL166880". Lineage: Eukaryota; Viridiplantae; Streptophyta; Magnoliopsida; Brassicales; Brassicaceae. The record is from RNAcentral.
UUGGUGUGUAAUAUGUAGAACUUGUCUUUGAUUCUUAGUGACAAAUUAAUGAAGUAUUUUUCAUUUAAUAAAUCUUCUUAUACCCAAAUUAUAUAUAUAUAUAUAUAUAUAUAUAUAUAAAAUUCAAUCUAGUAUGUAUAAAACAAAAACGAAACAAUUACAUUUAUAUAAAUGCUAUAUUAAAAAAAACAUAACAAUUUCAAAACGUUGUUAAUAAUAUAAGUAUGACAAUAAAAAGACGCUAUUAUACAAUAUUUAAUUGCAAAAAUAUAAACGCUAUUAUAUAUUACAAUACAAUAGCAGAACAAAAAAACGCUAUAUAAAGUGUCUGACCUACGAUGACGGGCGCAUACAUAGCGCUUAUCAAAACGCUAUAAAAUAGUUAGAUAGCGUUAUUCCGACGCUACGAAAAGUCAUUUUUCUUGUAGUGUUGCACUUGCAGUAGUAACUUCAGCUCAGAAGCUUUGCCCGUAUUUUCAAUCUCACCCAAUCGAAGUGUUAUCAAAUCAACCACUUCGAACAAUCCUUCAUAGUCCGAAACAAUCUGGGAGGUUGGCAAAGUGGGCGGUGGAAUUAAGUGAGUAUGAUAUAGAGUACAAGAGCCGAGUCGCCAUGAAGGCUCAAGUUCUGGCCCAUUUUUUAACAGAGUUACCGGUACUUGGCGGACGGGAGCAACCAGAAAAUCAGACUUGGAAGUUACACGUCGAUGGGUCUUCAUCAAAAAAUAGAUCCGGGGUGGGGAUCAAAUUGGAGUCUCCCACCUCGGAAAUCCUUGAGCAAUCAUUUCGGUUAUUAUUCACUGCAUCUAAUAAUGAAGCGGAAUAUGAAGCAUUAAUUGUCGGACUCAGAUUGGCACAGGGAGUUGGAGCUGAUGAAGUGAUCGCCUACUAUGAUUCACAACUGGUUGUU